This 254-nucleotide ribosomal RNA is filed under the name uncultured bacterium. RNAcentral describes it as "partial 16S ribosomal RNA". It matches the Rfam family "Bacterial small subunit ribosomal RNA", at positions 524 to 776 of the family's 1533-position model. The record is from RNAcentral.
UACAGAGGUCUCAAGCGUUGUUCGGAUUCAUUGGGCGUAAAGGGUGCGUAGGCGGCGCGGUAAGUCGGGUGUGAAAUCUCGGGGCUUAACUCCGAAACUGCAUUCGAUACUGCCGUGCUUGAGGACUGGAGAGGAGACUGGAAUUUACGGUGUAGCGGUGAAAUGCGUAGAUAUCCGGAGGAACACCGGUGGCGAAGGCGGCUUCCUGGACCGAUUACUGACGCUGAGGCGCGAAAGCUAGGGGAGCAAACGGG